Molecule: unclassified non-coding RNA, 2220 nt
Filed under: Haliotis rubra (blacklip abalone)
Lineage: Eukaryota; Metazoa; Mollusca; Gastropoda; Lepetellida; Haliotidae
Description: alpha- and gamma-adaptin-binding protein p34-like, transcript variant X1
Source: RNAcentral
ACAACAACAAACAUGGCGGCGCCCUGUGCAUUAUUUGCUUCUUGUACUGGCGCCUUCGAUCCAGACGAGUUUAUAAAACUAAUAUUAGGAAAAGAGAAUCUCCCCACUGCUCAGCAUGUUACAGAGUCUAUAAAAGCCUAUGACUGGCACAUUGAUACCAAGUACUACACAGCUGAUGUGAGUCUGUGCACAUCACUAAGGAGAACUAUCGGCAACCAGGAGUUUGCUACAGCUGUGCAGGCCUUUAUUGUGUACUUUGACCCUAAACAGGAGUCAACAUUUGAGUUGGUGAAAGCAUGGAUGCCAUAUCUCGAACAGAUUGAACCAGAGAUUCUAAUCCUUGUGUGUAACAACAGCUCUCACACUGAUGCUGUGGGUAGAAUAUCAACACAACAGUGGUGUAUAGACAACAGCUUUGAGUUGGUGGAGCUGAACCCAGAGUUGGAUAACGAAGAUGAAGAUCUGGAAGAUGACUUUGUGGAGACAACUGGAAUUAAGAGGAUUAUUCAGGCUCUUCAUGCCCACACAUGGCCGAAUCUGAUAUUGAAACAAAACCCUGUGAUUGGUAGUCCUUACUAUCGUCAACUUUUGAAAGAAGAGUCUGAGCUGAAAGCAAAUGAAGUCAAAUCUAAUUCCAAGGAAUCCUGUGAUAAUGAAACAGUGUCAACUAAUGACAGUGAGAAAUCUGGGACUGGAUCUCAGUCAGAGGGAGAAUCUGGACACUCUGCCCUAGGGGCACCUGAACGGGGUGGGGACCCUGUUGUUGAUGGGGCAUCUGUAGGGGGUGGGGACCCUGUUGUGGAUGGGGCAUCUGUAGGGGGUGGGGACCCUGUCAGUAACGGAACAGAUGAAGCUUCUGCAGACAAAGCUGAGGGGGGAAAGGAGACCAAAAAGGAAAAGCCUUGUAAAGAUGAAAUAAUAGACAACCUCCUUCCUGAGGAUGACAUGGCGUUGUUGGCCUCCCUGGGGAAUGAGGAUGCAGGAGAGGAGUCCUUUGAGGAGAUGUUUGAAAAGCUGAGAAUAAUGAAAGAGAAAGCUGAAGUCAUGCCCAUGGACCAGAGAAAAGCAUAUGCUGAAAAAAUCGCAGUAUCAUUUUGGAAAGCUAUUGGUGGCGACGAUGAUGAAAUCCAGGGAUUGGAUGAUCUGGAGGAUGAGCUGAUGCCUUCUUGAAAGGAGCAUCACCUGAUGCAGAAGCUGGUCUUCUGUGGACAUUCCACCCAUGUAACCAUAGCAACCUGGGAAUGGCAUCAGAUUAAUGUUGUGCAUGUUGUGACAAAGCCAUGUGUAAACCUGUCGCAGAUGUGCUUCUUCAAAAAGAUGACUAAAUAAAGUUUGUCUCUUUGGCCAUUCAGUUGCUGUGGGUGUAAUAAAACUUUAAAUGAGUGGCAGUUCAUACUAAAGCGUACAUUUAGUUAAACGAUAAACAGAUUCAAGUCAGAAAACCAAUAGAUAUUUCCUGCUAUGGCUUGCAAACAAGUUGAAGCACGAUUUUGUGAAAUAAUAUGGCAUGAUGUAAUGAGAACAGUGGUAUUUAAAUUAAUUGAUCAUUGGUAACUUUGCAGUUGGCUUAUCUGGCAAAUACUAGUAUAUACCAGAGAGAAUCUGGCCACAAAGUGUUCGACGUGUUGCUGUUUAGAGGUCCAUUAGGUUGGAUUCAUUAUGUUCUUAAUUACCUGAGAAUAUAAUGCUUUCAAAACACAUGAUUUUGAGUCUUUAAAGCUGGGCUAGGUUACUAUAUUCGUAUUUGUUGUAAACUACCCAUUUACUUGUAAAUGUUGCAUUACAUUCAUAUAAUUUUUCACAAAAUGUUAGUUCAGUGAGCACACUGGGCACAAUGUGAAAAUGGGAGGUACAGGAUUUACAGCAUCAUCAUGAUUUCAGAUAGGAAGAUACACUGUAUAUCAGCUUGAACUUUGUCUCGUCACUACAGUAGGACUGAAACAUACUUGAAUACUUUGUGUAUUACAUUAUUAACAUAAAACAGCACCAGACUUGUCAAUGAACUUUGAUAUCAGGCUGAUACCUUCUCUAAAACAAACAAAACAUCGCCUUGUAAAUGGUUGUAUCAUCAAGCAUUGUGUCAUGACUGCAUCAGAUUUCCUAAUGAUUUCCAAGUUACCUUCACAAUCAGGACCAUAUUUUAUUAUUUGACUUUUGUAAAUGUGUCUAAAACUUGUGUAAAAAUACAUUGCUGAUUAAAAUUGAUUGCUAUUUUGAAGA